This 840-nucleotide ribosomal RNA is filed under the name Microbacterium sp. H111. RNAcentral describes it as "bacterial SSU rRNA". It matches the Rfam family "Bacterial small subunit ribosomal RNA", at positions 68 to 918 of the family's 1533-position model. The record is from RNAcentral. Lineage: Bacteria; Bacillati; Actinomycetota; Actinomycetes; Micrococcales; Microbacteriaceae.
GUGAACACGGAGCUUGCUCUGUGGGAUCAGUGGCGAACGGGUGAGUAACACGUGAGCAACCUGCCCCUGACUCUGGGAUAAGCGCUGGAAACGGCGUCUAAUACUGGAUAUGUGACGUGACCGCAUGGUCUGCGUCUGGAAAGAAUUUCGGUUGGGGAUGGGCUCGCGGCCUAUCAGCUUGUUGGUGAGGUAAUGGCUCACCAAGGCGUCGACGGGUAGCCGGCCUGAGAGGGUGACCGGCCACACUGGGACUGAGACACGGCCCAGACUCCUACGGGAGGCAGCAGUGGGGAAUAUUGCACAAUGGGCGCAAGCCUGAUGCAGCAACGCCGCGUGAGGGACGACGGCCUUCGGGUUGUAAACCUCUUUUAGCAGGGAAGAAGCGAAAGUGACGGUACCUGCAGAAAAAGCGCCGGCUAACUACGUGCCAGCAGCCGCGGUAAUACGUAGGGCGCAAGCGUUAUCCGGAAUUAUUGGGCGUAAAGAGCUCGUAGGCGGUUUGUCGCGUCUGCUGUGAAAUCCGGAGGCUCAACCUCCGGCCUGCAGUGGGUACGGGCAGACUAGAGUGCGGUAGGGGAGAUUGGAAUUCCUGGUGUAGCGGUGGAAUGCGCAGAUAUCAGGAGGAACACCGAUGGCGAAGGCAGAUCUCUGGGCCGUAACUGACGCUGAGGAGCGAAAGGGUGGGGAGCAAACAGGCUUAGAUACCCUGGUAGUCCACCCCGUAAACGUUGGGAACUAGUUGUGGGGUCCAUUCCACGGAUUCCGUGACGCAGCUAACGCAUUAAGUUCCCCGCCUGGGGAGUACGGCCGCAAGGCUAAAACUCAAAGGAAUUGACGGGG